Molecule: ribosomal RNA, 253 nt
Filed under: uncultured bacterium
Lineage: Bacteria
Description: partial 16S ribosomal RNA
Rfam family: Bacterial small subunit ribosomal RNA
Source: RNAcentral
UACGUAGGGCGCAAGCGUUGUCCGGAAUUAUUGGGCGUAAAGAGCUCGUAGGCGGCCUGUUGCGUCCGCUGUGAAAUCCCGGGGCUUAACCCCGGGCUUGCAGUGGAUACGGGCAGGCUGGAGGCAGGCAGGGGAGAGCGGAAUUCCCGGUGUAGCGGUGAAAUGCGCAGAUAUCGGGAGGAACACCGGUGGCGAAGGCGGUUCUCUGGGCCGGUACUGACGCUGAGGAGCGAAAGCGUGGGGAGCGAACAGG